CCGGCGCCUCGGGACUCGCCACGGGGCACCGGUGUGCUCGCGGCGUUGCACGCUCACCGGCGCUCGGGUGCACUCGUGCGGGCAGGCGUGCUUGCACGCGCUUGUGCACACUCAUACGUGCUUGCGCAUACCUGGGCACACUUGUGUUUGCGCUCGCACUCGGGCACACUUGUCUAUGUUUGUGCAACAGUGGGGGCAGCUUGGACACACAGGCUUAGGCACACCUAUACAUGCUCCAGCGCAUUUCUGCACGCUCAGGCACACUUGUGCACACUUCCACACGCUCAUGCACCUGCAUAUGCUUGGACACAUUCACAAAUGCUCAAGCACGCCUGGGCACGGCUGCACGCUCCAAGAUGCUUGGAUGCACUCACACACACUCAGGUACAUGUGCACGCACAUACAGGCUCGGGUGUGCUCACAAACACUCAGGCACACUUGGGUGUGCUCUCAGGUGCUGGGUGCACUCACACACACUUUGGCACGUGCAUGUGCUCACGCCUACUGCCAGCUUCCUCACACUCAUGUGUGUGCACUCACACACAUCCACGCGUGCUUCAGCAUGUUUAUGCACGCUUGUGCACAUUUGCGCGUGCUCAGGCAUGGCAGGGCACGCUCGUGCAUGCUUUGGCGUGCUUACACGUGCUUGGACACACCGAUGCACUCUCAAGCACACUUGUGUACACACAUGCUGGGGCACGCUCGUGCACAUUUGGAUGUGCUCAUGCUUGCUUCCACAUGCUGGGGCACACUCACACAUGCUUAGGCGUGCUUGCACAUGCGCAGAGGUGCUGGUGCACACUCAGACACACUUGUACAUGCUUUAUAAACAUUUGCAAACCCUUGUGCACACUUGGACACGCUCACGUGUCACCGGCAUGCUCACACACUGGGAAGUGCUUGUGCAAGCUUCCGUGCGCUCACAGCUGCUCACCACGUGUGCACACCCUUGGGCACGGCAGCACACACCGGGGCACGUUCCUGCACGCUUGCACACGCUCACACACAUUCACACACGCGGGGGCACACUCAGACACACUCAAACCCACUCAGACACAGCCACGCACAGCUGCACACACCCUCACACGGGGACACGCUCAUCUCGGGCACGUUGGCCGUGCUCGUGCCCCGUUUGGCACACCCGCGGGCCCCCUCCCGGCCCUUGCACGCGCGGGGGCACACUCGCAGCUCGCCCUCCGCGGCGUUCCCAUGCGCGGGGCCCACCCAGCGCUCGGCGGGGCGGGCGCGCGGGCGGGCGGCGUGGCGGGGAGCGGCCGUGCCUGCGAGGCCAGCCCAACCGGCCCGCG
This 1307-nucleotide long non-coding RNA is filed under the name Anas platyrhynchos platyrhynchos (common mallard). RNAcentral's name for it is "lncRNA (ENSAPLG00000027557.1)". Lineage: Eukaryota; Metazoa; Chordata; Aves; Anseriformes; Anatidae. The record is from RNAcentral.